Molecule: long non-coding RNA, 636 nt
Filed under: Homo sapiens (human)
Lineage: Eukaryota; Metazoa; Chordata; Mammalia; Primates; Hominidae
Description: HSALNT0363495
Source: RNAcentral
CCCACCUUGGCCUCCCAAAGUGCUGGGAUUACAGGCGUGAGGCGUGAGCCACCACACCCGGCCAUGCCCAGUCCUUCUGACCCUCGUGGCUUCUCCUGCUCCAAGGCCAAGCUCGGGACCCUGUCAUCAUCCCCGGGGACAGGCCCCAUCUUAGAGAGGAUCCACCCAGCUCCCCGCUCCUGAGCCAUCUUCCAGCUAUCCCGCCUCGAGACUCCCACCGCACCUGCUCCUGGGCUGCAGCUGCACCCAACAAGUCAACAUGUGGAUUGCUUCUAGAAUUUGGAUAUUAUGAACACUGCUGUGCUGAACAUUCUUGUACACUUAUAUGGUUUGGCUGUGUCCCCACCCAAAUCUCAUCUUGAAUUGUAGCUCCCAUAAUUCCUAUGUGUCGUGGGAGGGACCCAAUGGGAGGUAAUUGAAUCAUAGGGGCAGGUCUUUCCCCUGCUGUCCUUAUGAUAGUGAAUAAGUCUCAUGAGAUCUGAUGGUUUUAUACAUGGGAGUUCCCCUGCACAAGCCCUCUUGUCUGCCGCCAUGUAAGAUGUGCCUUUGCUUCUCCUCUGCCUUCCACCAUGAUUGUGAGGACUCCCCAACCAUGUGGAACUGUGAGUCCAUUAAACCUCUUUCCUUUGUAAAUUA